CUAAUCAAGGGCUUCAUUAGUUGCACCAGGUGUGCUUGAGCUGGAACACAUGGAAUACCUGAACAGGCUAGGGGUAGAAAGAUAUGGAAUACCUGGACCGGGCAGAAAAAGGAAGCUAUCGACGGCUGCAAGCAGAUUUCUAAGACUCUGGAUCCACCACAACCCUGUUCAGAAUAAAGAGCUUACUGAAAAUCCACAUGGUCUGCUGUUAAUCCUGGCUUCAGGUAGACUGAGGAAAUCUACCUGUGAAUGAUAUCAUUGCCUCCUCGUGGCUCCAGGGUCCCUGGUUUGAUCUUGAGCUUGGUGUGUGUGUGUGUGAGAGUGUGAGAGCCCUGCACUGGACUGCCAUCCAUUAUGCGUUAAAGGCUGCAGUGAAGAUGGAUGGAUUGAUGUGUGUGUGUGUGUGUGUGUGUGUGUGUGUGUGUGAGAGGGAGAGAGAGUUUGUGUGCCGUCCUUCACGUCCUUGGCCCGUCCCUCACAAGAGAACUGUGCGUUACGAUUAAUUGGUGUGAACUGUCGGUGUAUGCAUCGCUUCCAUUGAAAUCAAUGGCAGGGGUGCAUUUUUUGAUGGAGACACACACAUUCUUGUGAAUCAUAAACCCCAAAUAAAUUCUAAGAUGGACUACCUAAAGGAAACCCCAAAGCACAGGGAGAGAAUGCAAACUCCGUGCACACACGGCAAAAUCAAGCCCCCAACCCUGGAGGAGCGAGGCAAAUGUGCUAACCACUAAGCCACCAUGCCCCCCGCAACUGCAAUCAUAAAC
Molecule: long non-coding RNA, 764 nt
Organism: Ictalurus punctatus (channel catfish)
Lineage: Eukaryota; Metazoa; Chordata; Actinopteri; Siluriformes; Ictaluridae
Source: Ensembl